AAUUAAUGAACUUGUUAAAGUAUUUGUUUUGAAAACUUAAAAAAGAAUUAUAAUAUUCUAUUAAUUU
RNAcentral lists this transfer RNA (67 nucleotides) under Megeuptychia antonoe. RNAcentral describes it as "tRNA-Ser". The record is from RNAcentral. Lineage: Eukaryota; Metazoa; Arthropoda; Insecta; Lepidoptera; Nymphalidae.